AUUGAACGCUGGCGGCAUGCCUUACACAUGCAAGUCGAACGGCAGCACGGGAGCAAUCCUGGUGGCGAGUGGCGAACGGGUGAGUAAUAUAUCGGAACGUGCCCAAUCGUGGGGGAUAACGCAGCGAAAGCUGUGCUAAUACCGCAUACGAUCUACGGAUGAAAGCGGGGGACUCAGCAAUGGGCCUCGCGCGAAUGGAGCGGCCGAUAUCAGAUUAGCUAGUUGGUGGGGUAAAGGCUCACCAAGGCGACGAUCUGUAGCUGGUCUGAGAGGACGACCAGCCACACUGGAACUGAGACACGGUCCAGACUCCUACGGGAGGCAGCAGUGGGGAAUUUUGGACAAUGGGCGCAAGCCUGAUCCAGCAAUGCCGCGUGCAGGAUGAAGGCCUUCGGGUUGUAAACUGCUUUUGUACGGAACGAAAAGACUCCUUUUAAUAAAGGGGGUUCAUGACGGUACCGUAAGAAUAAGCACCGGCUAA
This 481-nucleotide ribosomal RNA is filed under the name uncultured organism. RNAcentral describes it as "bacterial SSU rRNA". It matches the Rfam family "Bacterial small subunit ribosomal RNA", at positions 30 to 500 of the family's 1533-position model. The record is from RNAcentral.